Molecule: ribosomal RNA, 1378 nt
Filed under: uncultured archaeon
Lineage: Archaea
Description: bacterial SSU rRNA
Rfam family: Archaeal small subunit ribosomal RNA
Source: RNAcentral
UUCCGGUUGAUCCCGCCGGAAGCCACUGCUAUCGGGGUCCGACUAAGCCAUGCGAGUCAAGGGGGUGUCCCUCUGGGACACCACCGGCGGACGGCUCAGUAACACGUCGGUAACCUACCCUCGGGAGGGGGAUAACCCCGGGAAACUGGGGCUAAUCCCCCAUAGGCCUGAGGUACUGGAAGGUCCUCAGGCCGAAAGGGGCUUUUGCCCGCCCGAGGAUGGGCCGGCGGCCGAUUAGGUAGUUGGUGGGGUAACGGCCCACCAAGCCGAAGAUCGGUACGGGCUGUGAGAGCCGGAGCCCGGAGAUGGACACUGAGACACGGGUCCAGGCCCUACGGGGCGCAGCAGGCGCGCAACCUCCGCUAUGCCGGAAACCGCGACGGGGGGACCCCCGAGUGCCCCGGCUCCGCCACGGCUUUUCUCGAGUGUAAAAAGCCCCCGAAAUAAGGGCUGGGCACGUCCCGUGGACGCCCGCGCGGUAUACCGGCGGCCGAGUGGUGCCCUAUUAUUGGGCCUAAAGCGUCCGUAGCCGGGCCGUAAGUCCCUGGCGAAAUCCCACGGCUCAACCGUGGGGCUUGCUGGGAUACUGCGGCUUGGACCGGAAGGCGGGGUACCCUGGGGGGUGAAUCUAUAUCCCGACGCGGAACCCCCUGGAACGCCACUAAGCACCAAACCGUGGCUGUAAAGGAUGCGGGCUAGGUGUCGGGUGAGCUUCGAGCUCGCCCGGUGCCGUAGGGAAGCCGUUAAGCCCGCCGCCUGGGGAGUACGGCCGCAAGGCUGAAACUUAAAGGAAUUGGCGGGGGAGCACUACAAGGGGUGGAGCGUGCGGUUUAAUUGGAUUCAACGCCGGGAACCUCACCGGGGGCGACGGCAGGAUGAAGGCCAGGCUGAAGGUCUUGCCGGACACGCCGAGAGGAGGUGCAUGGCCGCCGUCAGCUCGUACCGUGAGGCGUCCACUUAAGUGUGGUAACGAGCGAGACCCGCGCCCCCAGUUGCCAGCCCUUCCCGUUGGGAAGGGGGCACUCUGGGGGGACUGCCGGCGAUAAGCCGGAGGAAGGAGCGGGCGACGGUAGGUCAGUAUGCCCCGAAACCCCCGGGCUACACGCGCGCUACAAUGGGCGGGACAAUGGGAUCCGACCCCGAAAGGGGAAGGGAAUCCCCUAAACCCGCCCCCAGUUCGGAUCGCGGGCUGCAACUCGCCCGCGUGAAGCUGGAAUCCCUAGUACCCGCGUGUCAUCAUCGCGCGGCGAAUACGUCCCUGCUCCUUGCACACACCGCCCGUCACUCCACCCGAGCGGGGUCUGGAUGAGGCUCCGUCCUCUGGGCGGGGUCGAGUCCAGGCUCCGUGAGGGGGGAGAAGUCGUAACAAGGUAACCGU